This 253-nucleotide ribosomal RNA is filed under the name uncultured bacterium. RNAcentral describes it as "partial 16S ribosomal RNA". It matches the Rfam family "Bacterial small subunit ribosomal RNA", at positions 524 to 776 of the family's 1533-position model. The record is from RNAcentral.
UACGUAGGGUCCGAGCGUUGUCCGGAAUUACUGGGCGUAAAGCGCGUGUAGGCGGCUUUGCAAGUCGGAUGUGAAAGCCCACGGCUCAACCGUGGAAGUGCAUCCGAAACUGCAUGGCUUGAGUCUCGGAGAGGAAGGUGGAAUGCUUGGUGUAGAGGUGAAAUUCGUAGAUAUCAAGCAGAACACCUGCGGCGAAGGCGGCCUUCUGGACGAUGACUGACGCUGAGACGCGAAAGCGUGGGGAGCAAACAGG